This 253-nucleotide ribosomal RNA is filed under the name uncultured bacterium. RNAcentral's name for it is "partial 16S ribosomal RNA". It matches the Rfam family "Bacterial small subunit ribosomal RNA", at positions 524 to 776 of the family's 1533-position model. The record is from RNAcentral.
UACGUAGGUGACCAGCGUUGUCCGGAUUUACUGGGCGUAAAGAGCGCGCAGGCGGUCGUUCAAGUCGAGUGUGAAAGCCCCCGGCUCAACUGGGGAGGGUCACUUGAUACUGAUCGACUCGAAGGCAGGAGAGGGAAGCGGAAUUCAUGGUGUAGCAGUGAAAUGCGUAGAGAUCAUGAGGAAGACCAGUGGCGAAGGCGGGUCUCUGGACAGUUCCUGACACUGAGGCACGAAGGCCAGGGGAGCAAACGGG